GAUGAACGCUAGCGGGAGGCUUAACACAUGCAAGUCGAGGGGCAGCACGAGGUAGCAAUACUUUGGUGGCGACCGGCGCACGGGUGAGUAACGCGUAUGUAACCUACCCUGUACAGGGGGAUAGCCCGGAGAAAUUCGGAUUAAUACCCCAUAAUGAUCUUCGGAUUAAAGAAUUUAUUCGCUUUGGGAGCGGCCUGCGUCCUAUUAGAUAGUUGGUGAGGUAAAGGCUCACCAAGUCAACGAUGGGUAGCUGGUCUGAGAGGAUGACCAGCCAGACUGGAACUGAGACACGGUCCAGACUCCUACGGGAGGCAGCAGUAAGGAAUCUUCCACAAUGGGGGCAACCCUGAUGGAGCAACGCCGCGUGCAGGAUGAAGGCCCUCGGGUCGUAAACUGCUUUAUGAGUGAAGAAUAUGACGGUAACUCGUGAAUAAGGGUCGGCUAACUACGUG
This 452-nucleotide ribosomal RNA is filed under the name uncultured bacterium. RNAcentral's name for it is "bacterial SSU rRNA". It matches the Rfam family "Bacterial small subunit ribosomal RNA", at positions 28 to 507 of the family's 1533-position model. The record is from RNAcentral.